ACCACCUCUUCCCAUUCCGAACAGAGAAGUUAAGCUCACCAUCGCCGAUGGUACUGCCCCACCAGGUGGGAGAGUAGGUAGCUGCCGUUC
RNAcentral lists this ribosomal RNA (90 nucleotides) under Bacteroidota bacterium. The record is from RNAcentral. Lineage: Bacteria; Pseudomonadati; Bacteroidota.